This is a long non-coding RNA of Saccostrea echinata, 387 nucleotides long. RefSeq lists it as uncharacterized. The transcript has 3 exons. The record is from RefSeq and is a predicted model, not a curated record. Lineage: Eukaryota; Metazoa; Mollusca; Bivalvia; Ostreida; Ostreidae.
UCAACAUGUCCAGAUCAUUUUCCGUAGAAAACCCCGAGAGGGUUGUUUUGUAAAACCUACAAACUGUGAACAUUAUUGAAGCAUUCCAGAAGCCCACGGACAGUUAUGACAAAUUAAAUCAUAGUUAUUUAUGCCCGGGGCAUUCCGAUCAACUUGAAGGUCACAAACAUGUGCAAGAUUGCAGAUCCACGUUGCCUCGUCUGAUGUCAUGUCGUGUGCAGUGAGCAUGAGAAAAACAACCCUGCUUUACCCUAGACUAGAAAAAAGACUGGAGGUCAAAAUGCAGGAUGAUUGAGCAGGGAGUGCUGGCAGAUGGACUAUUGAGGUCAACAAAAAAUUCUGACUUUCACCAGGUGGACACAUGUUCAGGAAGAAAUUCUCACAUCA